RNAcentral lists this ribosomal RNA (247 nucleotides) under uncultured bacterium. RNAcentral describes it as "partial 16S ribosomal RNA". It matches the Rfam family "Bacterial small subunit ribosomal RNA", at positions 523 to 769 of the family's 1533-position model. The record is from RNAcentral.
AGACGUAGGGGGCAAGCGUUGUCCGGAAUUACUGGGCGUAAAGGGUGCGUAGGCGGGCGCCUAAGUCAGCGGUGAAAUGCAGCGGCUCAACCGUUGAACUGCCGUUGAAACUGGGCGCCUUGGAUGCGGUCGAGGCCGGCGGAAUGCGUGGUGUAGCGGUGAAAUGCUUAGAUAUCACGCAGAACGCCAAUUGCGAAGGCAGCUGGCCGGGCCGCAAUCGACGCUGAGGCACGAAAGCGUGGGGAUC